GGUAAAGUGCAGGUCUCUUUGGUUUGGAAUUCGAGAAGCGAGAAUUCAGCUAACACCGCAAAAUUAAAUGCUUUAGCCAAUUUCCUAUGGGGCAACGGUGGGCCAAAGAGAAAAGUCCAUUUGGUUCAUUCAGUUUGGGCUAAUUUCCAGACAUCAUCAAAUAAUAUUAUAUUUGGAAACAGAUGGAGACAUUUGUUGGGGGAAAGAGAUUUCUGGGAGCACAUUGGAGGGAUUGAUGUCUCUUUAGCUCCAUCAAGCUUUGGGCAAGCAAAUACGCG
This 278-nucleotide unclassified non-coding RNA is filed under the name Hevea brasiliensis (rubber tree). Lineage: Eukaryota; Viridiplantae; Streptophyta; Magnoliopsida; Malpighiales; Euphorbiaceae. The record is from RNAcentral.